RNAcentral lists this ribosomal RNA (509 nucleotides) under Salmonella enterica subsp. enterica serovar Newport. RNAcentral describes it as "partial 23S ribosomal RNA". It matches the Rfam family "Bacterial large subunit ribosomal RNA", at positions 161 to 709 of the family's 2925-position model. Lineage: Bacteria; Pseudomonadati; Pseudomonadota; Gammaproteobacteria; Enterobacterales; Enterobacteriaceae. The record is from RNAcentral.
AAUCCAUAGGUUAAUGAGGCGAACCGGGGGAACUGAAACAUCUAAGUACCCCGAGGAAAAGAAAUCAACCGAGAUUCCCCCAGUAGCGGCGAGCGAACGGGGAGGAGCCCAGAGCCUGAAUCAGCAUGUGUGUUAGUGGAAGCGUCUGGAAAGGCGCGCGAUACAGGGUGACAGCCCCGUACACAAAAGCGCAUGUGCUGUGAGCUCGAUGAGUAGGGCGGGACACGUGGUAUCCUGUCUGAAUAUGGGGGGACCAUCCUCCAAGGCUAAAUACUCCUGACUGACCGAUAGUGAACCAGUACCGUGAGGGAAAGGCGAAAAGAACCCCGGCGAGGGGAGUGAAAAAGAACCUGAAACCGUGUACGUACAAGCAGUGGGAGCACAGGUUUACCUGUGUGACUGCGUACCUUUUGUAUAAUGGGUCAGCGACUUAUAUUCUGUAGCAAGGUUAACCGUAUAGGGGAGCCGUAGGGAAACCGAGUCUUAACCGGGCGUUAAGUUGCAGGGUA